CAAUAGCGUAUAUUAAAGUUGUUGCAGUUAAAAAGCUCGUAGUUGGAUUUCUGGCAGGAGCGGCCGGUCACACACUCUGUGUGUGAACUUGCGCUGUCUCUGGCCAUCCUUGGGGAGAUCCUGUUUGGCAUUGAGUUGUCGGGCAGGGGAUACCCAUCGUUUACUGUGAAAAAAUUAGAGUGUUUAAAGCAGGCUUAUGCCGUUGAAUAUAUUAGCAUGGAAUAAUAAGAUAGGACUUCGGAACUAUUUUGUUGGUUUGCGUUACGAAGUAAUGAUUAAUAGGGACAGUUGGGGGUAUUCGUAUUUCGUUGUCAGAGGUGAAAUUCUUGGAUUUCCGAAAGACGAACUACUGCGAAANCANNNACCAAGGAUGUUUNCAUNAA
RNAcentral lists this ribosomal RNA (383 nucleotides) under uncultured eukaryote. RNAcentral's name for it is "partial 18S ribosomal RNA". It matches the Rfam family "Eukaryotic small subunit ribosomal RNA", at positions 592 to 976 of the family's 1831-position model. The record is from RNAcentral.